UGAGGAGUAUUGGUCAAUGGAGGCAACUCUGAACCAGCCAUGCCGCGUGCAGGAAGAAUGCCCUAUGGGUUGUAAACUGCUUUUAUUUGGGAAUAAACCUCUCCACGUGUGGAGAGCUGAAGGUACCAAACGAAUAAGCACCGGCUAACUCCGUGCCAGCAGCCGCGGUAAUACGGAGGGUGCAAGCGUUAUCCGGAAUCAUUGGGUUUAAAGGGUCCGCAGGCGGACUAAUAAGUCAGUGGUGAAAGCCCAUCGCUUAACGAUGGAACUGCCAUUGAAACUGUUAGUCUUGAAUUCGGUCGAAGUGGGCGGAAUGUGUCAUGUAGCGGUGAAAUGCAUAGAUAUGACACAGAACACCGAUAGCGAAGGCAGCUCACUAGGCCUGAAUUGACGCUCAGGGACGAAAGCGUGGGGAGCGAAAGGG
RNAcentral lists this ribosomal RNA (424 nucleotides) under uncultured bacterium. RNAcentral describes it as "bacterial SSU rRNA". It matches the Rfam family "Bacterial small subunit ribosomal RNA", at positions 355 to 776 of the family's 1533-position model. The record is from RNAcentral.